RNAcentral lists this ribosomal RNA (499 nucleotides) under uncultured bacterium. Its description in RNAcentral is "partial 16S ribosomal RNA". It matches the Rfam family "Bacterial small subunit ribosomal RNA", at positions 28 to 507 of the family's 1533-position model. The record is from RNAcentral.
GACGAACGCUGGCGGCGUGCCUAAUACAUGCAAGUCGAGCGAAGUUUUUCUGGUGCUUGCACCGGAAAAACUUAGCGGCGAACGGGUGAGUAACACGUAAAGAACCUGCCUCAUAGACUGGGACAACUAUUGGAAACGAUAGCUAAUACCGGAUAACAUCAUUACCUGCAUUGUUGAUUUUUAAAAGUUUGUUUUUCUAACACUAUGAGAUAGCUUUGCGGUGCAUUAGCUAGUUGGGGGGGUAAAGGCCUACCAAGGCGACGAUGCAUAGCCGACCUGAGAGGGUGAUCGGCAACACGGGAACGAAAACACGGCCCAGACUCCUACGGGAGGCAGCAGUAGGGAAUCUUCCGAAAUGGGCGAAAGCCUGACGGAGCAACGCCGCGUGAGUGAAGAAGGAUUUCGGUUCGUAAAGCUCUGUUGUUAGGGAAGAAUGAUUGUGUAGUAACUAUACGCAGUAGAGACGGUACCUAACCAGAAAGCCACGGCUAACUACGUG